AACUUGAUGCACUCAUUUUAAUGCUGCAUCCAGCUCUGCAUUUUCACGCAUAACAAACACCCACUUGAAACAACCUUCAUGGCUCAGUUGGACAGCUAUUUACCCCAGCUGACAUUUAUUUUUCAACAAAAAGGGAGGUGUAUCUGGCCAAAAACUAGCCAAAUAUCUGGCGAUUUUGCAAGAGGCUACAAGUGACAUUAAUCUUGAAAAAGGGCAGCAGUCCUCAAAGCACUUUGCAUCUACUUUGGUGAGGAUGAUGGACAUCUCAUUCGGGAGUAUAAG
This is a non-coding RNA of Danio rerio (zebrafish), 282 nucleotides long. The record is from Ensembl. NCBI's taxonomy places the organism in Eukaryota, Metazoa, Chordata, Actinopteri, Cypriniformes, Danionidae.